RNAcentral lists this ribosomal RNA (433 nucleotides) under uncultured bacterium. Its description in RNAcentral is "partial 16S ribosomal RNA". It matches the Rfam family "Bacterial small subunit ribosomal RNA", at positions 29 to 507 of the family's 1533-position model. The record is from RNAcentral.
AACGAACGCUGGCGGCAUGCCUAACACAUGCAAGUCGAACGAGACCUUCGGGUCUAGUGGCGCACGGGUGCGUAACGCGUGGGAACCUGCCCUUAGGUUCGGAAUAACUCCCCGAAAGGGGUGCUAAUACCGGAUAAUGUCUUCGGACCAAAGAUUUAUCGCCUUUGGAUGGGCCCGCGUUGGAUCAGCUAGUUGGUAGGGUAAAAGCCUACCAAGGCGACGAUCCAUAGCUGGUCUGAGAGGAUGAUCAGCCACACUGGGACUGAGACACGGCCCAGACUCCUACGGGAGGCAGCAGUGGGGAAUAUUGGACAAUGGGCGAAAGCCUGAUCCAGCAAUGCCGCGUGAGUGAUGAAGGCCUUAGGGUUGUAAAACUCUUUUACCCGGGAUGAUAAUGACAGUACCGGGAGAAUAAGCUCCGGCUAACUCCGUG